RNAcentral lists this ribosomal RNA (2637 nucleotides) under human gut metagenome. RNAcentral describes it as "bacterial LSU rRNA". It matches the Rfam family "Bacterial large subunit ribosomal RNA", at positions 3 to 2550 of the family's 2925-position model. The record is from RNAcentral.
UCAAGCUGUUAAGAGCACAGGGUGAAUGCCUUGGCAUUAGGUGCCGAUGAAGGACGUGACAAGCUGCGAAAAGCUGCGGGGAGGAGCAAAUAUCCAUUGAUCCGCAGAUGUCCGAAUGGGGAAACCCGGCUGUGGUCAUGCACAGUCAGCGUUAUGUGAAUACAUAGCAUAACGCGGGAAAACCCGCUGAACUGAAACAUCUAAGUAGGCGGAGGAAGAGAAAGAAAAAUCGAUUUUCAAAGUAGCGGCGAGCGAAAUGGAAAGAGGCCAAACCUAAGAUAGCAAUAUCAUAGGGGUUGAGGACUGAAUAAUCCAUUGUGAGUUUCUAGAAGAAUUGGUUGGGAAGCCAAACCAAAGAGGGUGAUAGUCCCGUAAUCGAAAGAGAUGAGCAGGAGUCAGUAUCCAGAGUACCGGCGGACACGAGGAAUCUGCCGGGAAGCCGGGGGGACCACCCCCCAAGCCUAAAUACAACCUAAUGACCGAUAGUGAAGCAGUACUGUGAAGGAAAGGUGAAAAGAACCCCGGGAGGGGAGUGAAAGAGAACCUGAAACCUUGUGUUUACAAGCAGAUAAAGCACAAUAUUAGUGCGAUAUCGUACUUUUUGUAGAACGGUCCGGCGAGUAUAUGUACGCAGCGAGGUUAAGAUAUUAAGUAUCGGAGCCGCAGGGAAACCGAGUGUUAACAGCGCGAAUAAAGUUGUGUGUAUAUGACCCGAAACCGGGUGAUCUAUCCAUGGACAGGAUGAAGCGGAAGUAAAAUUCCGUGGAGGUCCGAACUCACUGCUGUUGAAAAAGUAGGAGAUGAGCUGUGGAUAGCGGAGAAAUUCUAAUCGAACCCGGAGAUAGCUGGUUCUCCCCGAAAUAGCUUUAGGGCUAGCCUUAUAUUAGUUUAGCGGAGGUAAAGCACUGAAUGAGCUAGGGGCCGUAUUGGUUACCGAACUCUAUCAAACUAAGAAUGCCGCAUAAAUGAUGUAUAGGAGUCAGACUGCGUGAGAUAAGUUUCGUGGUCAAAAGGGAAACAGCCCAGACCUACAGCUAAGGUCCCAAAAUGGAUUUAAGUGGAAAAGGAUGUUCAGAUGCUAAAACAACCAGGAUGUUGGCUUAGAAGCAGCCACACAUUCAAAGAGUGCGUAAUAGCUCACUGGUCGAGUGACUGGGCGCCGAAAAUUUAACGGGGCUAAAAUUCAUACCGAAGCUUGGGCAAUGUGCACACAAUUUAAUUAUUAUCAGAAAAAUUGUGCACUAUGACAAUGAGCGAAGCGAAUUGUCAUCAAAUUGUCCCUAUGGAUAAAGUUCAUUUAUCUGUUAGGAUAAGAGAUUAUCUGAAAGGAUAAGAUUUAUCCGAAAGGGUGAUAAUGGUUAAAUUGUGUGCAUAUUGGGUAGGGGAGCGUUGUGUAGUAGGACGAAGGAAGACCGGAAGGACUUCCGGACGAGGCACAAGUGAGAAUGCCGGAAUAAGUAGCGAGAAUUAUGUGAGAAUCAUAAUGGUCGAAAAUCUAAGGUUUCUUGGGGAAGGUUCGUCCGCCCAAGGUAAGUCGGGAGCUAAGGCGAGGCCGAAAGGCGUAGUCGAUGCACAUACGGCAGAUAUUCCGUAACCGCCGAAAUUGUUAAGCACAGGGACGCAGGAAGAUAGCCUGACCCGGGCGUUGGUUGACCCGGGCGAAAGGGAGCGAAAAUUAGUAGCGAAGCAGGUGAUUCUACACUGACGAGAAAAGCUGUGUGAAUUGAUUAGGUGCCCGUACCGCAAACCGACACAGGUAGAUGAGGAGAGAAUCCUAAGACCAACGGGAGAAGCAUUGUUAAGGAACUCGGCAAAAUGACCCCGUAACUUCGGGAGAAGGGGUGCCUGCAUAAAGCAGGCCGCAGAGAAUAGUCCCAAGCGACUGUUUAGCAAAAACACAGGUCUAUGCUAAGUCGAAAGACGACGUAUAUGGGCUGACGCCUGCCCGGUGCCGGAAGGUUAAGGGGAACGGUUAGACUUCGAGUCGAAGCUGUGAACUUAAGCCCCGGUAAACGGCGGCCGUAACUAUAACGGUCCUAAGGUAGCGAAAUUCCUUGUCAGGUAAGUUCUGACCCGCACGAAUGGCGUAACGAUUUGGGAGCUGUCUCAACAAUGUGCCCGGCGAAAUUGUAGUACCGGUGAAGAUGCCGGUUACCUGCGACAAGACGGAAAGACCCCAUGGAGCUUUACUGUAGCUUGAUAUUGGAUUUCGGUAUAUGAUGUACAGGAUAGGUGGGAGGCAAAGAAGCAAUCACGCCAGUGGUUGCGGAGCCGAUGUUGGGAUACCACCCUUCGUAUGCUGAAAUUCUAACCGGACACCGUAAGCCGGUGACGGGACACUGUCAGGCGGGCAGUUUGACUGGGGCGGUCGCCUCCGAAAAGGUAACGGAGGCGCUCAAAGGUUAUCUCAGCACGGACGGAAAUCGUGCAAAGAGUGUAAACGCAUAAGAUAGCCUAACUGCGAGACGGACAGGUCGAGCAGUAACGAAAGUUGGAGUUAGUGAUCCGGCGGUAUGAGAGUGGAAUUGCCGUCGCUCAACGGAUAAAAGCUACCCUGGGGAUAACAGGCUUAUCUCCCCCAAGAGUCCACAUCGACGGGGAGGUUUGGCACCUCGAUGUCGGCUCAUCGCAUCCUGG